RNAcentral lists this long non-coding RNA (11353 nucleotides) under Solanum tuberosum (potato). Its description in RNAcentral is "long non-coding RNA (STUB_LNC002805)". The record is from RNAcentral. Lineage: Eukaryota; Viridiplantae; Streptophyta; Magnoliopsida; Solanales; Solanaceae.
AAUAUGAGAACCUCACAAAAAAAUCAAACAAUAUUAUUCAAAGACGAAAAAUCCGAAAUACAAAAUACUUGAUAAUUGUGAAAACAAAAUCACAAGACAUCUCACAAAAUACUUGUUGACUUCGAAUUUACCUUUAUCCAUGGUUGAAAAAUCUUUUGAAUUAAUUGUGAGAUUUCUUGAACAAAGUGUAGGAAAUUGGAAGAGUUGAUUUUCUUGAAUAAGGAAAGGCGAUAACAAUGGUGAAAAGGAAAGAGAGAGAAAUGAGCAAUUUGGGGUAAAACCUAGAAAGAGAGGUAAGUGGGUAAUGGGGGUAUAAUUAUUUUUAUUUUACGGAUGAGGGAGUAAAAAAGGGUCUAACUUGAGCAUGAUUUGAGAAAUAAAAGGAAAAGAAAUUAAUUAUAUUAGGAUACAAUUAAUCUUCUAAAAUAUUGACAUAUUGACAUUUUUAAUAAUUAUUUUUAAGUGUAGAUAUUUUUUAUAAUUAUAUUAGGGAUUAUGACUAGUUUGCUAAUUUUUCCUAUUUUGAUUAUUCUUUAGAUAUGACUUCUAUAAAUAGCUAUUUGUGAACUUCACCUCAUCAUAUAUGGCAAAUUAGGCACUUUCAGGACAACAAGGGUUACAACUUUCAAUUGACAAUUGGCACAAACAGCCGCAGACGUAUAAAAGUUAUAUUUUAUAAAUUUAUAAGAGAGAAAAAGUUGAUUUAUAUUUUCAAAUAAUUAUCCUACAUUAGCAAAAAUUGCUUUCAAAGCAAUGACUUGCCACCACACAAUGUUUUAUUUUAUAAGUUAUUUUUGUUCUCAUUUUGUUAUUAAUUAUCAAACUAGUUUUGAAUAUGUAGCAAGAGUUAAUGGGAAAUGGAGGGAAGAUGAAAAGAGAGGAACUUGAAAAGUUGGGAACUUGAAGAAUUGGAAACUUGAAAAGUCCUUUUAUGCUUUAGUGAAAAGGCAUUUCUCCCUCAUCGGUGGUGGAAAGAAAAAUAAAAGAGUUUAAAUAUAGAAACACUCCUAUUAAUUGUUAAAAGGGUUGGAAAGAGGGACCCCUUCGCACCGUCGUCGUCGUCGCUCGCUCGCUCGGCUUCGGCGACAAAGUUUGUUUAAAUUAUUUAUUUAAUUAAUUAAAUUAAAUUAAAUGGCCAAAACGUCAAAAUGUUUCAAUUAAUUAGUUAAUUAACCAAAAUGUUUCGGCUAUUCAGUUAAUUGACCGACCUGACUCGGAUCCGCGCGCGACCCAUUUUAUUUAAAUUCUUUUCCGUUUUAUUUAAAUUUCCCGCCGUUGGAAGUGACUGUUCUAAAAGGUUGCAACUUUCAUGAACAGUCAUGACCGUUUGAAAGGUUGCAAACUUUCGUGAAUGGUCGUGUGGAUUCUGAAAGGGUUGAUUCUUCAGAUUUAUUAAUUACGAUUUUUUCUGAUUUCUUCUUCUUCUUCUGCACAAAGUUUCUUCAUAUACUUUACUGUUAUUGAGUGGUUCGAUGAUACCAGAGUUUUGGGUAUCAAUACACUGGUGAUUGAGAUCAUUCUAUCCUGGGAGGACAUAUUCCAAAUCAAACCUCAAAUACUAGAGGGGAAUAAUUUCUUUAAGGGGGCACUGUGCAGUCAGUGGGCUUGAUCUUUUCCGUUCUGUCUUUUUCCAGAUUCUAGUAUGUUUUUCAGAUUUUAGUUGUUCUAAAUUAAUUUCUGUUCUUCUAUUUUUACUAGUUCAUUAAAACUUUGAUUACUUCGUGUUUCUGCAAAGUUUAUUGGAAUCAGAAAUUCUGUUUUAAACACAGAUUGACAACAAUUAUAACAAAUUGUUCGAUUUCAGCAGUCCCAUAAUGGAUCAAAAAGAUUUAUAUUGAAUGUCCUGCUCCUGCCUGAACUUUCCCAUCAACCAAACCAUACUCCAUUAAUGCAUUCUUUUAGUUUUGUAUAGGUCUUCGAUCAAUAUUGAUCUCGGAGGUUUUGGUACUUCAACUCGUCCAAUGUACUUUAUUUUUCUUUAAAUAAACACAAUGGGGGUCGAUGCCGAAUCUGUUAUGAAUAUGAGAAUCAAAAGUUACGCAUUGUUAUCAAUGUAACAGUAAAGCUAGUUACAAAAUGUUAGUUACAAAAGUUUGUUAUAAUGUUAGUUAAAGGUAACUCUAGUUAAUUUAGACUAACUAGCUUGUACAGUUAAGAUACACUAUAAAUAGAGUAGUGUAGGCAUUAUUUGUAUUGUAUCAGAUUAUCAUUCAAUACAGUGAAAAGUUCUUCUUCUUUGAUUGAAUCAUCUGCUCUAUAAUUCUUCAUGGUAUCAGAGCCAUGGAUGCUCUCCUGAUGUAUUCCGCAAAUUAGGUUGUUAAACUCUUCUGCUUGCAGUGCACACGAAAGGCUCUCCAACAGAGUCUGCAUUAUCUUAGAAGCAGUCCUGUUUUUACUUCGUUUGUUGCUCCUGAUUCAGUGAAGAUCUUCAUCAAUGACGAUAGGUGAAGGCUCCAAUCCUGACACUCUUACUCCUUCAGCUGGUGGUAGAGAAGCCAUAGUUGAUUCACAUCAUCCUUUGUUUCUUCAAGCGUGUGACACUCCAGGUAGUUCACUGGUCUCUACUCAAUUAAUUGGAUCUGAAAACUAUUCUUUGUGGAGCAGGUCUAUGAAGAUAGGUCUGCUAGGCAAAUGUAAAAUAGGAUUUGUGGAUGGAUCUAGUUCUAAAGAGAAGUUUCAAGCUUCCUUCCAUAAUAUGUGGGAGAAAUGUAAUGCAAUUGUCCUUUCAUGGAUCAUGAUUUCUGUUAGUCGAGAACUUCUCAGUGGGAUAGUUUAUGCUAAUAGUGCUCAACAAGUUUGGAAUGACCUGAAGGAAAGGUUUGAUAAGGUUGAUGGAUCACGUAUAUUCUAUCUACAUAAGGAGAUUGCUACACUCACUCAAGGAAUAUUGUUUGUUUCCAUCUAUUUCUCCAGGUUUAAAGAGCUUUGGAUGGAGUUUGAUUCUCUCAUGCCCUGUCCUGGGUGUGACUGUUUAGUUUCAAAGACUUAUGCAAUUCAUUUUGAGUAUCAAAGGCUUAUGCAGUUUCUCAUAGGUCUCAAUGAGUCUUACAACCAAUGUAGAAGCCAAAUUAUGAUGAUGGAUCAUGUUCCCAGUGUGAACAAAGCCUAUUCACUAGUGAUUGUAGAAGAGAGUCAGAGGAUCCUUGGUAAGGCAAAUACUGUUGUUGAGAUGCCUUCUAACCAUGGAUACAAGAGGCUCUAGCCUUCUUUAGUGGCAGUAAUCAUACCUACUCAGGCUCCAGAGGAUCGGGAUCUGGUGGUCCUGGUACUACUGGAUCUACUUCCAGACCUAAGAAGCCAUUUAACAGUUAUUGUUUUGUGAUUACUGUAAUUGGAAAGGUCACACAAGGGAUCACUGCUACAAACUUCAUGGUUAUCCAUCUGACUGGAAAGGUAAGAAGAAAAUCAGUCCUGGUUCAACUAGCACAACUAGUUUUGCUGCUGCUAGUUCUGGUCCUAGUAGCCUCUCAAGCAGAUCUCCAUCAGGUGUUAGCAAUACUGGUGUCUCUCAUGCAUUUAUGACUAACCUGCAGCAUCAACAGUUUCAACCUCAUGCAACUUCACAGCCACAACAUCCUCAUUUCUCCCACCAGCAGUACAUGCGGAUCCUGCAAUUGCUAGAUCAGGGAAAUGGGAAGACUACCGCUGAUGCUCUUGUGUCUACCUCAGGUACAUCAGGUUUGUUUCCUACUUCCAAGUGGAUAUUUGAUUCAGGAGCUUCCAAACAUAUGGUUCAUAGUCUGCGUAUGCUCAAUCACUAUACUACCUUGUCUGAGUCUCACGAAGGAAAAAUGUAUCUUCCUACUGGCAAUCUUGCACCAGUUAGUCAUAUUGGCUCAUCUCAGAUCUUAGGAGGGGCUGAGAUCACUAAUAUGCUUCAUGUUCCUACUUUUCAAUACAACUUAUUAUCUGUUCCUAGACUAACAAAGGAGUUGAAAUGCAGUGUUAUGUUCUAUCCUAAUUUCUGCAUUUUCCAGGACCUCUCCAAUGGAAAAGUGAGGGGGAUUGGCAAGUUGGAGAAUGACAUGUAUGUGAUUACUGCUGACUGUCAUUUGCAUUCUCAAGGAGCAGAAUUGAGUUCACCUAAAGAUCAAGCUAUUGCAGUUUCUAAGUCUUGUCUUGUACCUUCUUUACAUUCAUCUAGAAUAAGUCUAUCAUUGUGGCAUAAAUGCCUAGGUCAUGUACCUUUUAAUACUCUUAGACAAUUUAGUUCUUUGCAACAGUUGCAUCCUACUACUGAUGCACCUUAUACUGUAUGCCCUUUAGCUAAACAAUCAAGACUAUCUUUUCCUUUAAGUGCUACUUCUACUACUGCUUGCUUUCAACUUUUACACGCUGAUGUAUGGGGUCCCUAUAGAGUUCCAACUCAUGAUAAUAACAGGUAUUUUUUAACCUUAGUAGAUGACUACUCAAGGUAUACCUGGAUAGUUUUGCUUCCCUCCAAAUCUGAGGUCAUAGUUGCACUCAAAAAUUUUCUUAUUAUGGUUGCAAAUGUUUUCUCUUCCUUAGUCAAAAUAUUAACGACAGAUAAUGGCUGUGAGUUUUUUAAUUCCCAAAUGACUGUUCUCCUGGAGUCUCUAGGUAUUUUACACCAAAGUUCAUGCAUAUAUACCCCUCAACAAAAUGGAGUUGUUGAAAGGAAACAUAGACAUAUACUUAAUGUUGCUAGAGCCUUGAGGUUUCAAUCUAGCAUGCCUCUUAAAUUUUGGGGUGAGUGUGCUCUUACUAGUGUCUAUUUGAUCAACAGAUUGCCUUCAUCUAUUUUACACAACAAGACAUCUUAUGAGUUGCUUUAUCUUAGAUCUCUUUCUCUUGAUCAUCUUCGAGUCUUUGCGUGUCUUGCUUUUGCUUCUGAAGUCAGAAAGGUUGACAAGUUUACUCCCAGAGCUUUCCCUACUGUGUUCUUGGGGUAUUCUACAUUACAAAAAGGGUACAAAUUGUUUUCUCUUCAUACUUAAGAGUUCUUAGUGUCCAGAGAUGUAGUUUUCAAAGAGGACAUAUUUCUCUUUACUCAAACCACUUCCUCAUGUCCUCCUUUGUUUCCUAUCUUUCAGUUUACAGAGUCCUUUACUAAGUCCACUCCAGUUCCUCCCAUUGCUACUCUUUAUUCUUCUCUUUGUCCAGCUUCUAUAGUAUCUGAAUGUCCCUUUUCUCCUGCCUAUGCAUCUGAUAUGUCUGCAACUGUUCCCUUAAGAAGAUCCUCUAGAAAUUCCAAACCUCCAAUUUGGCUUCAUGACUAUGUUACUACUCAGCCUAAGUCCACUUGUCUUUAUCCUUUAUCCAAUCAUGUCAGCUAUCGCCAUUUGUAUCCACUUUAUGGCUUAGCCUUAGCUGCAUAUUCCAGCAUCCUUAAGCCUAAGUCUUCCAUAAGGCUGCUCUUAAUCCUUUGUGGGUCGUAGCUAUGCAAGCUAAGAUCAAAGCCUUGGAAGAGAAUCAUACCUGGUCUAUCACUGAUCUUCCUUCUGAUAAACAUCCAAUUGGCUGUAAAUGGGUGUUUAAGGUGAAAUAUCUUGCAUCUGGUGCUGUUGAAAGAUACUAGGCUAGACUUGUUGCAAAGGGGUUCAAUCAGAAAGAAGGCUUGGAUUAUUCUGAAACUUUCUCCCAUGUUGCUAAGAUGGUUACUGUGCGGUCUGUUCUAGCUGUGGCCUCUGCUAAACACUGGCUUGUGUUCCAAAUGGAUGUCCAUAAUGCAUUUCUCCAAGGUGACCUGGUUGAGGAUAUGUAUACGGUUGUUCCUCCAGGCUUUUGCAGACAGGUGGAGUCUGGUAAAGUCUGCAAAUUACACAAGUCACUAUAUGGUUUAAAGCAGACACCUAGGCAAUGGAAUUUUAAACUAAUAGAAGCAUUACUUCAGCUGGGAUUUGUUCAAAGCCACUAUGACUAUUCUCUAUUUACCAGAAGUGAAAAUAAAAAGUUGAUAAUAAUUCUUGUUUAUGUUGAUGACCUUCUGAUAACUAGAAGCUGCAAGAAGCUGAUUGACAGGACCGGGAAUGAUCUGCAACUUAAAUUCAAAAUGAAAGACCUAGGAGAAUUGAAGUUUUUCCUUGGAAUUGAAUUCGCCAGAUCAAAAGAAGGUUAUAUUAUGAGCCAACGUAAGUAUGCCUUGGAACUUGUCUCAGAAAUGGGUCUAAGUGGUGCCAAGCCAGUCAACACUCCACUGGAUCCAAACCUCAGACUAACCUCUAUUGAAUAUGACUCACAUGUACAAGAGGCAAACACUACAUCAAGUGACAAACCUUUGGAAGAUAUUGGUAGAUAUCAAAGCCUUGUAGGGAAACUGUUGUAUCUAACUAUGACCAGGGUAGAUAUCUCCUUUGCAGUACAAGUUCUAAGUCAAUAUAUGCAUGCACCCAAAGAGUCUCAUAUGGAAGCUACACUUAGAGUAGUCAAAUACAUCAAGUCAGCUCCAGGUUUGGGUUUGUUUAUGCCCUCACAAGAUUCUAAUCAAUUGACUGUUUACUGUGACUCUGAUUGGGGUACUUGCUUACAAACGAGAAGAUCUGUGACUGGAUACUUAGUGAAGUUUGGAAAUGCUCUUGUAUCUUGGAAGGCAAAGAAGCAAGAAACAAUUGCUAAAAGUUCUGCAGAAGCUGAGUUUAGGAGUAUGGCAUCUGCAGUAGCUGAAAUUACUUGGCUCAUUGGCAUACACAGUGAACUAGGAGUAACCAUCAAACAACCAGUUGAUCUAUUCUGUGACAGCAAGGCUGCAAUUCAGAUUGCAGCCAACCCUAUUUUUCAUGAGCGAACUAAGCAUUUUGAUAUUGAUUGCUAUUUUGUUAGAGAGAAACUGCUUAAAAAAAUGAUUCAGACACAUCAUGUAUCCACAAAAGAUCAGCUGGCAGAUCUGCUCACAAAAGGUUUAUGGAAAGCUCCACACUCACAUCUUAUGUCCAAGCUGGGAAUGAAAGACAUUUUUCAGCCAUCAGCUUGAGGAUGGGUGUUAUGAAUAUGAGAAUCAAAAGUUACGCAUUGUGAUCAAUGUAACAGUAAAGUUAGUUACAAAAGUUUGUUAUAAUGUUAGUUAAAGGUAACUCUAGUUAAGUUAGACUAACUAGCUUGUACAGUUAAGAUACACUAUAAAUAGAGUAGUGUAGGCAUUAUUUGUAUUGUAUUAGAUUAUCAUUCAACACACAGAAAAGUUCUUCUUUGAUUGAAUCCUCUGCUCUGUAAUUCUUCAGAAUCCCCUAUCACCACCGAAGGUGAAAGCCUGGAUGGAUGAUAUUAAAAUAAAAAUAAAAACGAGACCUUCAGCCUUUAGAACAAAAGAGAUUAUAAUGCAACUUAAUGUCAUCUAGUCCAAAUUUUGCACUAAGAGAAAUUCACUGCCGGUAAUAUAAUAAGAUAUAUGCUUUUGCUGAGAAAUAUUGGAAACAGAUUUUGUCAGCAUAAAAUGCACUUCUUGUUGGUUGUUAGGUAAUUAGACUUGCUUUCAACUUUCAAGCAUAACGAAUAGUUUAGUUCAACAUGUAUAGUAGAAAAAACAAUAGGCAAAAAAUGGUCUAAAUUUCAAAUGAUUGGUCGACGAAUAUAGAAAAGACUUAGAAUAGCAAUUCAUCUUCUGUAGGAAACAAGUACUGGUCUAUCUAUCAAGUUGGUAAUUUCAAAAAUCAUCAAUACUUCCAACCAAAACAAAUUGAAUUAGUUAAUUGUACUCCCAAAGUAAAAGGAUAUUACACUUUUAGUCACUAAGAGGUAGUUUGACCGGAGAUAUUAGAGAAAAUAAUAUUUGUAUUAGCUUUGAUACUACAUAAUUUAUUGUUUGGUAUACCUAUAUAAUUAAUUAUAUAGAGUGAUACAUUAUAUUCAGUAUUAUUAUAUAUUCACCAUGACAUUAACAAUAUAUACUAGUACUAUUCCUAUAUAUUCUAGUACAGUAUACUCCAAUUGGAUUACAUUUUUUAGAAAUUUAUACGAUAUAUAAUAUAUAUGUGUUAGUAUUUGAUGCAACAAACCAGACAAACGAUAAAUGAAAUAUCAGCAUGAACAUUACUAACCAUAUUAAGUAGUAUUCUUAUGUGGCAUUUCAAUCCCUAAAAGAUAAUAAUUACAUAUAAGUAUAUAACCAUUUAUAAAAGGCAAGACUUCGUUACACUACGACAAAGUGAUAUUUAGUGGGAAUCGAUUUUUCUCUUAGUAUUGCCACAAAAAAAAAUUGCGACAAUAUUUUGCGAUAAUUGAGUUAAUUCAAAGAUGCUACAGUUUUUCACGAUAUUUAUAUAGAAUGCUGAUAGUAAGUAUCAAAAAUUAUUAUUAUUAUUAAAUAUAUUAUAACAAUUAGAAUCUUAUUUUAAUCAAUCAAAUUUUAGUCAUUAAUUCUUGCAUAUGCCAUGUGUCUCACAUCCAAGCAAGAACUUGGGAAAAAUGAAGAAAAGAGAAAUAGAGAGUAACCGGAUCCAUUAUAAGGCAUAUUGUCAUUUGUCCGUAUUUAUAAGUUAAAUUUUAAAAAAAUUCAAACAACUGCCAGUGGCCAUAAAUGAAAAUGAUGCAUCCAGAAAAAUACGUCUGGACCUUCUGUAGUAAGGAAUGGUCUCUUCCAAGUCCAAUAAAAAAGACUGCAAAGUCCAUCCACUACUACUGUAACAUGAGGCUAAACUGCACUCUCAAUACAUAGAAAAAUUAACCAACAAUGCAUUAUCUAUCACACAUUCAUAUCCUGGAUGAGAUAAGAUUCACCAUCUUCCGACACGUGGCACUUCUAUUCUUGUCUAUUAAAAUAAAAGACACUUAGCUCCAAUUUCUUAUCUUUCAUGUGGCCAUUAAAUUUUGUAAUAUCAACAGCCACAUAAUCCAAUGGUCACCCUUCAUCUAAGAUGAGGUUUCCUUUGUUUCUAUCCGUUAGAUUAAAAAAAACGUCUAACACCUUAUCAUUAUAUAAAGGGAGUAAGCCACAGUGUAAUAAGCAUCUUAAAAAAAAAACAAGUUUCUUUGAAGUAAAAAAAAAAAAAACGUUUUAUAGCUAAGUAGUAACGUAAUGGCUUCCUCAAUUGUCUCCUCAGCAGCCGUUGCUACCCGUAGCAAUGUUGCUCAAGCUAGCAUGGUCGCACCCUUCACCGGACUCAAAUCCGCCGCGUCUUUCCCCGUUACUAAGAAGAACAACAACGUUGACAUUACUUCCCUUGCUAGCAACGGUGGACGUGUUAGAUGCAUGCAGGUUCAAAUAAUAAUUAUCAGUAUAUAUAUAUAAAAUUUAAAUUAACUAGUUGUCGUUUAUUUAUAAAAUAAAUGUGUUAAUGUAGGUGUGGCCACCAAUUAACAUGAAGAAAUACGAGACAUUGUCAUACCUUCCUGACUUGUCCGAUGAGCAAUUGCUCAAGGAAGUUGAGUACCUUUUGAAAAAUGGAUGGGUUCCUUGCUUGGAAUUCGAGACUGAGGUCAAUAUCUCCUACAUACUUUUACAUGUGUAAUUUAAUUUGUUGAAGGAGAAAAUAAAUGUAUGUUAUAUUGUUGUGUACAGCACGGAUUUGUGUACCGUGAGCACAACAGCUCACCAGGAUACUACGAUGGUAGAUACUGGACCAUGUGGAAGUUGCCUAUGUUUGGGUGCACUGACGCAACCCAGGUGUUGGCUGAGGUUCAAGAGGCCAAGAAUGCGUACCCACAGGCCUGGAUCCGUAUUAUCGGAUUCGACAACGUUCGUCAAGUGCAGUGCAUCAGUUUCAUUGCCUACAAGCCAGAAGGAUACUAAAUUUCAUCAAACCUAUAAUUAAUUACUCCUAUCGACAUGUUUUUUGCGUUUUGUACCGGUGUAUUUUCCUCGAUUCCGACCAAGUUAUGAGAAAUUAAUAAUGAUGAAUCUUUAAUUAUAUGUUUUUUUGUGGUGUGUAUGAGUUUUAUUAUCCAAACUAAAAAUCUCUCUUUAAAUAUGAAAACGACACAUUAACUACUCCUUUUAUCCUAACAACUUUAGCACAACGAUUAAAUAGCCACCGCAUGUGACAUUAAUUAUCUUAAAUGAAAAGAAUUGUAUCACAUUGAGACAUCGAUUCAAUAAUUAGUGAGAAUGAAAAAGACUUCAUUUUCUGCCUGGAAAAAUGCCGUAACUUAAGUAAGAUUUUUUUUUUAUUUCACAAAUUAGUGAAUUCAAAUCUUACACUUUUGAUUCAUCAAUGUAAAAAGAAUAAAUUAAAAAUCCUAUUAUUUGUAUUAUUUAUGUGAGGCACAAAAUAAAUAUCUUCGUAAGAGUAACCAACCUUCUAGGCUUAUCAUGAUCAGUUGGGCCCUGGAUGUUUACACUUGUGGCCACUGGCCAUGCUCAACAAGGACCGGUCAAUUAUUGUAUUUUGUUGUUAUCCUUUUGUCUUUUUUAUUGGUUUUUUUUUUUAAAGAGUUUGAAGUUUUAUGUAUCGAAUAGUUGAUAUGUUAAUAGUUAUUAAAUACAAAUUUAUAUAUAUAUUCUAAAUUAACGUAUAAUAUACAUAAAUGGUGUAUAAUUUUUUUAUAUUUGACUAACGGCUAAAAUUCAUUUAAAUUGAGCAAGUAAAUGUAUUAUGACCCCUAAAUUUUUUUAGCUCAAACACCAAUUUAGUGAUUUUUGCUUUAAAAAAACUGAAAAUUGUAUUGUUGGUGAUCAGUAGAAAGUGUUGAAGAAGAGAAAUCAUUGUAAGUUUGAAGAAGAGAAAAUACAUAAAACUCCCCCCUAAACUUGGCAGUACAACUUACUUUAGCACUUAAACUACACAGGCUUUUAAUAUCCCCAUUAACAUCUUUGAAGUGAAUUAAAUACAACUCUAAAUACUGACUCCUCCACAGCGAUAGCACUACUGGAGCAUGACCAUUCGCAAUACACUAACAUUAUAUCUGAAUGCAGGUCACUAAUGCAGCAGGGGAAUACCAAAACCACUCCACACAUUCAGGGAGUAGAACAAGGUGGCGGACAUACUGGCUAAAAUGGGUAGGACAAUACAAUCCAACAGCGGGAGGAUGCAGAUUUUGGAAGCCCCACCACAUUAUGCCUUCAAAGCAUGGGAAGCUGACAAGAAUGGGCUUUAUUUUGAUAGAAUGGUAGUAGUAACUAGUCCCAACGAGACAACGGAGAAUCCCCCUAUUUCAAACUAUGUAAUGAACAAUGAAGUCCGUGUGCUUCACCUUUAAGCUUUUUAUAUAAUUACUCUAUUUCUAUCAAAAACAAAUAAAUACAACCCUGAGAAUAGAAUACCACUCUCACCUGUCACAUCAUAACCAUGUAAGCACCACGUCAUUAAUUUUCAAUCUUUUUUUUGCUUAUUCACCUUUUCUCUUAACCAUUUUCUUAAAAUUUAUUACACUAAUCAAUUAAUUUAAAAUACAUUUUAAAAUCAAAAUUGCCCCAUCUUCUUCCACCCCUUCUCUUCUACCCCCCCCCCCCUACUCUUUC